This 253-nucleotide ribosomal RNA is filed under the name uncultured bacterium. Its description in RNAcentral is "partial 16S ribosomal RNA". It matches the Rfam family "Bacterial small subunit ribosomal RNA", at positions 524 to 776 of the family's 1533-position model. The record is from RNAcentral.
GACGAAGGAUGCAAGCGUUAUCCGGAUUCAUUGGGUUUAAAGGGAGCGUAGGUGGUCUUAUAAGUCAGUGGUGAAAUCUCUCAGCUUAACUGAGAAAUUGCCAUUGAUACUGUAGGACUUGAGUAUAGUUGCCGUUGGCGGAAUAUGACAUGUAGUGGUGAAAUACAUAGAGAUGUCAUAGAACACCGAUUGCGAAGGCAGCUGACGAAACUAUAACUGACACUGAGGCUCGAAAGUGCGGGGAUCAAACAGG